UACGAAGGGGGCUAGCGUUGCUCGGAAUCACUGGGCGUAAAGGGUGCGUAGGCGGGUCUUUAAGUCAGGGGUGAAAUCCUGGAGCUCAACUCCAGAACUGCCUUUGAUACUGGGAAGCUCGAGUCCGGAAGAGGUGAGUGGAACUCCGAGUGUAGAGGUGAAAUUCGUAGAUAUUCGGAAGAACACCAGUGGCGAAGGCGGCUCACUGGUCCGGUACUGACGCUGAGGUGCGAAAGCGUGGGGAGCAAACAGG
Molecule: ribosomal RNA, 253 nt
Filed under: uncultured bacterium
Lineage: Bacteria
Description: partial 16S ribosomal RNA
Rfam family: Bacterial small subunit ribosomal RNA
Source: RNAcentral